ACAAACGUGCUGAAAUGGUAGACAGGCCAUGCUUAGGACAUGGUGCUUAUUAAAGUAUAUGGGUUCAAGUCCCAUCGUUUGUA
RNAcentral lists this transfer RNA (83 nucleotides) under Apiotrichum gamsii. Its description in RNAcentral is "tRNA-Leu". It matches the Rfam family "tRNA". From Rfam's summary of the family: Transfer RNA (tRNA) molecules are approximately 80 nucleotides in length. Lineage: Eukaryota; Fungi; Basidiomycota; Tremellomycetes; Trichosporonales; Trichosporonaceae. The record is from RNAcentral.